RNAcentral lists this ribosomal RNA (486 nucleotides) under uncultured bacterium. RNAcentral describes it as "partial 16S ribosomal RNA". It matches the Rfam family "Bacterial small subunit ribosomal RNA", at positions 30 to 507 of the family's 1533-position model. The record is from RNAcentral.
AUUGAACGCUGGCGGCAUGCCUUACACAUGCAAGUCGAACGGCAGCACGGGUGCUUGCGCCUGGUGGCGAGUGGCGAACGGGUGAGUAAUACAUCGGAACAUGUCCUGUAGUGGGGGAUAGCCCGGCGAAAGCCGGAUUAAUACCGCAUACGAUCUACGGAUGAAAGCGGGGGACCUUCGGGCCUCGCGCUAUAGGGUUGGCCGAUGGCUGAUUAGCUAGUUGGUGGGGUAAAGGCCUACCAAGGCGACGAUCAGUAGCUGGUCUGAGAGGACGACCAGCCACACUGGGACUGAGACACGGCCCAGACUCCUACGGGAGGCAGCAGUGGGGAAUUUUGGACAAUGGGCGAAAGCCUGAUCCAGCAAUGCCGCGUGUGUGAAGAAGGCCUUCGGGUUGUAAAGCACUUUUGUCCGGAAAGAAAUCCUUGGCCCUAAUACGGUCGGGGGAUGACGGUACCGGAAGAAUAAGCACCAGCUAACUACGUG